CCGCGUGAGUGAUGAAGGCCUUAGGGUUGUAAAGCUCUUUCGCCGGGGAAGAUAAUGACCGUAACCGGAGAAGAAGCCCCGGCUAACUUCUUGCCAGCAACCGCGGUAUU
RNAcentral lists this ribosomal RNA (110 nucleotides) under uncultured Clostridium sp. Its description in RNAcentral is "partial 16S ribosomal RNA". It matches the Rfam family "Bacterial small subunit ribosomal RNA", at positions 397 to 524 of the family's 1533-position model. The record is from RNAcentral. Lineage: Bacteria; Bacillati; Bacillota; Clostridia; Eubacteriales; Clostridiaceae. RNAcentral also lists the same sequence under 1 other name.